This 595-nucleotide ribosomal RNA is filed under the name uncultured bacterium. RNAcentral's name for it is "bacterial SSU rRNA". It matches the Rfam family "Bacterial small subunit ribosomal RNA", at positions 215 to 803 of the family's 1533-position model. The record is from RNAcentral.
CUGCUUUAAGAUGAGCUUAUGCAGGAUUAGGUUGUUGGUAGGGUAAAAGCCUACCAAGCCGAAGAUCCUUAGCUGGUUCGAGAGGACGGUCAGCCACAUUGGGACUGAGACAAGGCCCAAGCUUUUUAGCCAGCAGUGAGGAAUUUUGGACAAUGAGCGAAAGCUUGAUCCAGUAAUGUUGCGUGAAUGAGGAAAGCAAAAAAGAUUUAUGAAUUAAAUUUUGUAAAUCGGUUGUAAAGUUCUUUCGCUGAUGAAGAUAAUGACGUUAAUCAGAGAAGAAGCCCCGGCUAACUUCGUGCCAGCAGCCGCGGUAAUACGAAGGGGGCGAGCAUUAUCCGGAAUGAUUGGGCGUAAAGAGUUUGUAGGCGGUAUUAGCUGUUAUAAAUAAAAUUCUAGGUUUGUUGCUUAGAUCUGUUUGUAAUACUCUUUUACUUGAGUAUGGUAGAGGAUAGCAGAAUUUCAUGCAUAAGGGUAAAAUCUAAUCAUUUAUGAAAGAAUGUCAGUGGCGAAGGCGGCUAUCUGGACCAUUUACUGACGCUGAGGAACGAAAGCAUAGGGAGCAAACAGGAUUAGAUACCCUGGUAGUCUAUGCUGU